Molecule: ribosomal RNA, 254 nt
Filed under: uncultured bacterium
Lineage: Bacteria
Description: partial 16S ribosomal RNA
Rfam family: Bacterial small subunit ribosomal RNA
Source: RNAcentral
GACAUAGGUGGCGAACGUUAUCCGGAAUUAUUGGGCGUAAAGGGUGCGUAGGUGGUUUAAUAAGUUACUGGUGGGAAAUCGGGGCCCAACCCCGUGGAAGUCGGUAAUACUAUUAAACUAGAGGUCUGGAGGGGUUAACGGAACUCCAUGUGUAGGGGUAAAAUCCUUAAAUAUAUGGAUGAACACCAAACGGCGAAGGCAGUUAACUAUUCAGCACCUGACGUUGAGGCACGAAAGCGUGGGGAGCAAGACGG